GAUGAAGAACGAAGCGAAAUGCGAUACGUAAUGUGAAUUGCAGAAUUCAGUGAAUCAUCGAGUCUUUGAACGCACAUUGCGCCCCCUGGUAUUCCGGGGGGCAUGCCUGUCCGAGCGUCAUUGCUGCCCUCAAGCACGGCUUGUGUGUUGGGCCUCCGUCCUCCUCCCGGGGGACGGGCCCGAAAGGCAGCGGCGGCACCGCGUCCGGUCCUCGAGCGUAUGGGGCUUCGUCACCCGCUCUUGUAGGCCCGGCCGGCGCUUGCCGACACAUCAAUCUUUUUUCCAGGUUGACCUCGGAUCAGGAAGGGAUACCCGCUGAACUUAAGCAUAUCAAUAAGCGGAGGA
This 345-nucleotide unclassified non-coding RNA is filed under the name soil metagenome. RNAcentral's name for it is "partial contains 5.8S ribosomal RNA, internal transcribed spacer 2, and large subunit ribosomal RNA". The stretch from base 1 to 120 matches the Rfam family "5.8S ribosomal RNA", at positions 35 to 154 of the family's 154-position model. The record is from RNAcentral.